This 70-nucleotide transfer RNA is filed under the name Tomicodon cryptus. Its description in RNAcentral is "tRNA-Trp". It matches the Rfam family "tRNA". Rfam says of the family: Transfer RNA (tRNA) molecules are approximately 80 nucleotides in length. Their secondary structure includes four short double-helical elements and three loops (D, anti-codon, and T loops). Further hydrogen bonds mediate the characteristic L-shaped molecular structure. tRNAs have two regions of fundamental functional importance: the anti-codon, which is responsible for specific mRNA codon recognition, and the 3' end, to which the tRNAs corresponding amino acid is attached (by aminoacyl-tRNA synthetases). tRNAs cope with the degeneracy of the genetic code in two manners: having more than one tRNA (with a specific anti-codon) for a particular amino acid; and 'wobble' base-pairing, i.e. permitting non-standard base-pairing at the 3rd anti-codon position. The record is from RNAcentral. Lineage: Eukaryota; Metazoa; Chordata; Actinopteri; Blenniiformes; Gobiesocidae.
AGAGACUUAGGCUAAUUAAGACCCAGGACCUUCAAAGUCCUAAGCGAGGGUUAAAAUCCCUCAGCCUCUA